AAUAAAAAGCCCAACAUUAUUGGGCUUUCAGUCUUUAGAGUAGCCCAACUUGUUUGUCAAAAACAACUCAUCAGAGUCGAUUUGCAGAUUUGUUACCGAUUUCUCUCUCUGAAAAAAGGAAAAACAGCCGCUCAAGUUGAAGAUGGUGAUGCGAGGACAGCCGUUGGUCACCAAGCUGGCUGCGCUGGCAAAGGAUGUAGUGUUUCCGGUGACGAUAAUCGCUGCGCUCGUAUACUCGCCGCCCGAUUCUCUGCGCGGAAAACCUCAAUCUAAAUCCACUUGAUUGGGGAUCUUCCAUUUCUAUUCAUUAGAUGAAGAGGCUUCCGCGAUGGUUGAAUGCCCACCUUUUGGUUAAAGUGGUUAUGUGUUGAAUGAAAAUGGUAUGUAAUAAUUGUAAUGUUGUUUCAGUGAUGUAAACAACUUUUUCAAACUAUCUCAAUGCACUUCUGUUUCUUUCUUCA
This is a long non-coding RNA of Salvia hispanica, 461 nucleotides long. RefSeq lists it as uncharacterized. Lineage: Eukaryota; Viridiplantae; Streptophyta; Magnoliopsida; Lamiales; Lamiaceae. The record is from RefSeq and is a predicted model, not a curated record.